GAUUCAACAGACAUAAAAUUCUUGUCAGUCUGCUAUAAAAAUUUGUAAAUGCUUAAUCUCCACUUAUAAGUUUGUCUUGUCAUGAUAUGGUCUCUAUCUUCAUCUCACUCUUUUUCUUCCCACAGUCACCCAAAAUGACGGUAUGUUCCUAAAAUACUUUCCCGUGGAAGGUGUAAGUUCCCCUCUUCCUGGCCAAAUGCUCAAAUGUUUUACUCCCAUCACCUCCUUUGUUUUGCAUAAGUAUCACUUUCUAUAAAAAUUAUCAUUUAAUGAUGGAAAUGAACUUAACUGCCUUUACCAUCAGCAGUCUCUUUUUAUCCAUGAUAAAAUUUGCAGAGUAGUUUAACAGGCAUAACUCAAGCUGUUUAUUUCUUCUUAGCUUUAUAUACUUACGGAUAGGAAGUCAUGCAGUACAAGUGUGCAAAAGUUCUGCAAAGUAUAUGUUACUUUUGCUGAUCACAUACAGGUGCUGGAUAGUUUACUAGUCCAGUAUGGAGUGGUGGAGAGCUGUGAGCAAGUGAACACUGACUCGGAAACUGCAGUUGUAAAUGUAACCUAUUCCAGUAAGGACCAAGCUAGACAAGCACUAGACAAACUGAAUGGAUUUCAGUUAGAGAAUUUCACCUUGAAAGUAGCCUAUAUCCCUGAUGAAAUGGCCGCCCA
Molecule: long non-coding RNA, 663 nt
Filed under: Homo sapiens (human)
Lineage: Eukaryota; Metazoa; Chordata; Mammalia; Primates; Hominidae
Description: non-protein coding lnc-TRA2A-6:3
Source: RNAcentral